GGCCCAUUAGCUCAGUUGGUUAAAGCGUUGUGCUAAUAACACAAAGGUCGCGGGUUCGAUCCCCACAUGGGCCA
RNAcentral lists this transfer RNA (74 nucleotides) under Melitaea cinxia (Glanville fritillary). RNAcentral's name for it is "misc RNA ENSMCXG00005023465.1". It matches the Rfam family "tRNA". From Rfam's summary of the family: Transfer RNA (tRNA) molecules are approximately 80 nucleotides in length. Their secondary structure includes four short double-helical elements and three loops (D, anti-codon, and T loops). The record is from RNAcentral. Lineage: Eukaryota; Metazoa; Arthropoda; Insecta; Lepidoptera; Nymphalidae.